RNAcentral lists this ribosomal RNA (396 nucleotides) under uncultured bacterium. Its description in RNAcentral is "bacterial SSU rRNA". It matches the Rfam family "Bacterial small subunit ribosomal RNA", at positions 361 to 774 of the family's 1533-position model. The record is from RNAcentral.
AUAUUGCACAAUGGGGGAAACCCUGAUGCAGCGACGCCGCGUGAGUGAAGAAGUAAUUCGUUAUGUAAAGCUCUAUCAGCAGGGAAGAAAGUGACGGUACCUGAGUAAGAAGCACCGGCUAAAUACGUGCCAGCAGCCGCGGUAAUACGUAUGGUGCAAGCGUUAUCCGGAUUUACUGGGUGUAAAGGGAGCGUAGACGGAUAGGCAAGUCUGGUGUGAAAACCCGGGGCUCAACCCCGGGCCUGCAUUGGAAACUGUUUUGCUCGAGUGCCGGAGAGGUAAGCGGAAUUCCUAGUGUAGCGGUGAAAUGCGUAGAUAUUAGGAGGAACACCAGUGGCGAAGGCGGCUUACUGGACGGUAACUGACGUUGAGGCUCGAAAGCGUGGGGAGCAAACA